UACGAAGGGGGCUAGCGUUGCUCGGAAUCACUGGGCGUAAAGCGCACGUAGGCGGCUUUCUAAGUCAGGGGUGAAAUCCUGGAGCUCAACUCCAGAACUGCCUUUGAUACUGGAGAGCUAGAGUCCGGAAGAGGUGAGUGGAACUGCGAGUGUAGAGGUGAAAUUCGUAGAUAUUCGCAAGAACACCAGUGGCGAAGGCGGCUCACUGGUCCGGUACUGACGCUGAGGCACGAAAGCGUGGGGAGCAAACAGG
RNAcentral lists this ribosomal RNA (253 nucleotides) under uncultured bacterium. RNAcentral's name for it is "partial 16S ribosomal RNA". It matches the Rfam family "Bacterial small subunit ribosomal RNA", at positions 524 to 776 of the family's 1533-position model. The record is from RNAcentral.